Molecule: long non-coding RNA, 217 nt
Filed under: Sorghum bicolor (sorghum)
Lineage: Eukaryota; Viridiplantae; Streptophyta; Magnoliopsida; Poales; Poaceae
Description: long non-coding RNA (SBIC_LNC001036)
Source: RNAcentral
GCCCAUGCAUAGUGAUAUUAGCAAGGAAUAUGAGAAACAUAGCAAUCACCCCCUGUAAUAAUGUUGCUCUGCCAGCCCAAUACACGAGAGGGGGACUAUAUACGAAUCAAUGAAGCUGUCACUAUCACGAACUACCCCACGAUCUGGCAUAUUGGGUACAAUCGCAGAUAAAUACGGUAUAAGCACCACGCCUACACAAUAUCUAUCAUUUACCCAU